This 979-nucleotide long non-coding RNA is filed under the name Zonotrichia albicollis (white-throated sparrow). RNAcentral's name for it is "lncRNA (ENSZALG00000012325.1)". The record is from RNAcentral. Lineage: Eukaryota; Metazoa; Chordata; Aves; Passeriformes; Passerellidae.
AGGAAAACCUGCCAGAUGGCUGAGGAGCUGACAAAUAAAGGAAAGUCCCAUGAUUUGGAAAAAGGGACAUCUAAAACUUACCCCUUGAGCAGAGCUACCUUUUGGAGACAGUAUCAGGUCCCUCCUUUCAUGGGGGCUCCACUGGUAGAGGGAUCUGCCUGACAAUAUUAACACCAUGGCUUUGCGGUGGAGACAGCCUAGUCCAGAGUCACAUCUAACCAAAUUAUUUCUUAGUGUUCUGGCCAUUCUCACUUUGGAGUACUCAGGACUCUGGAUCAAGGCUAAAUGGUGGUGGGAAAGGUGGCCUGCUCCAGAAGCAGUGGUGGGAGUCACUGCACCCGAGUACCUGCCUGUGCUGGCUGCUGCUCCACACGCUCCAGGGGUCCUUCAGAGAACUUGCAUUGAAGGUAAAACUGAAGGAGCUGCACACCAAUCCUCUGCCACUGCACUGUGCACCUCUGUAUGUCACAAGUACACCAGGAAGAGCCAUCUCUCCAGAGUAAUUUUUGUCCACCUUGGCCUUCUCCUAUCAAAUAGUGGGUGCUGAUUCUUCUAACCAAGUCAUCAUGGAGCAAUCAAUCUUUUUAAUGGGGCACUGAACAGAACAGCAUAACCUGCAGAAUGCACAGUGCAGAAUCACCAUCUCCAGGGCUACAUGCAUGUGGACAUUUUGGACUGUCUCUUUUUUCCCCCUGAAAUUUCUUCUCCUGGAACAUGCCCUGUGCAGAUUCAACAUUCUGAUUAUUUAUAUGUUGUCUUGCAUUGAAAUCCCUUUUCAAGAAACACCCCCCAAAGGCACUUCAACAGCCCAGAAAUUCAUGAGUGAUUGGCUGAAGCUCUGAGCAACAAGACAACAGCUUGUGGCAUAUCACAAGAAUGUUUUCCAUCUUUUGAUUACGUUAUUUAUUUUCUAAGUAUUGAUUUAUAAUGUUUACUACAUGGACCAUAUAAACACAAUAAAACCUGCCAUCUUUUAGCA